CAUGCAUGCAGAAACCCUCCGCCUUGCUGACAAAACCAUUGUAUUUUCCGAACAUGAAGUAUCUAAAGUAGUUGUCAUGGUAACACGAUAAUUUUUUAAGAAUAUUCUUACAAAUGAAAAAUCGCCUAAAAAUAUAUCACUUUUAAUUACUAAAUUAUCAAUUUCCCAACAUAUAUAUGUUACGUAUGUUAUUAUACUUAAUGCUAAUGCUUUCGUUUCUCCGGGUGUAAAUAGCCGGGGGGGAUUAGUACCCUCGCACGGCGCUUCGCGCCGUCGGCUCGGGGAAUG
Non-coding RNA from Paramuricea clavata, 288 nucleotides. The record is from the annotation of a GenBank genome assembly. Lineage: Eukaryota; Metazoa; Cnidaria; Anthozoa; Malacalcyonacea; Plexauridae.